RNAcentral lists this ribosomal RNA (2979 nucleotides) under Salmonella enterica subsp. enterica serovar 4,[5],12:i:-. Its description in RNAcentral is "bacterial LSU rRNA". It matches the Rfam family "Bacterial large subunit ribosomal RNA". The record is from RNAcentral. Lineage: Bacteria; Pseudomonadati; Pseudomonadota; Gammaproteobacteria; Enterobacterales; Enterobacteriaceae.
ACUAAGCGUACACGGUGGAUGCCCUGGCAGUCAGAGGCGAUGAAGGACGUGCUAAUCUGCGAUAAGCGCCGGUAAGGUGAUAUGAACCGUUAUAACCGGCGAUUUCCGAAUGGGGAAACCCAGUGUGAUUCGUCACACUAUCAUUAACUGAAUCCAUAGGUUAAUGAGGCGAACCGGGGGAACUGAAACAUCUAAGUACCCCGAGGAAAAGAAAUCAACCGAGAUUCCCCCAGUAGCGGCGAGCGAACGGGGAGGAGCCCAGAGCCUGAAUCAGCAUGUGUGUUAGUGGAAGCGUCUGGAAAGGCGCGCGAUACAGGGUGACAGCCCCGUACACAAAAGCGCAUGUGCUGUGAGCUCGAUGAGUAGGGCGGGACACGUGGUAUCCUGUCUGAAUAUGGGGGGACCAUCCUCCAAGGCUAAAUACUCCUGACUGACCGAUAGUGAACCAGUACCGUGAGGGAAAGGCGAAAAGAACCCCGGCGAGGGGAGUGAAAAAGAACCUGAAACCGUGUACGUACAAGCAGUGGGAGCACCCUUCGGGGUGUGACUGCGUACCUUUUGUAUAAUGGGUCAGCGACUUAUAUUCUGUAGCAAGGUUAACCGUAUAGGGGAGCCGGAGGGAAACCGAGUCUUAAUUGGGCGUUAAGUUGCAGGGUAUAGACCCGAAACCCGGUGAUCUAGCCAUGGGCAGGUUGAAGGUUGGGUAACACUAACUGGAGGACCGAACCGACUAAUGUUGAAAAAUUAGCGGAUGACCUGUGGCUGGGGGUGAAAGGCCAAUCAAACCGGGAGAUAGCUGGUUCUCCCCGAAAGCUAUUUAGGUAGCGCCUCGUGAAUUCAUCUCCGGGGGUAGAGCACUGUUUCGGCUAGGGGGCCAUCCCGGCUUACCAACCCGAUGCAAACUGCGAAUACCGGAGAAUGUUAUCACGGGAGACACACGGCGGGUGCUAACGUCCGUCGUGAAGAGGGAAACAACCCAGACCGCCAGCUAAGGUCCCAAAGUCAUGGUUAAGUGGGAAACGAUGUGGGAAGGCCCAGACAGCCAGGAUGUUGGCUUAGAAGCAGCCAUCAUUUAAAGAAAGCGUAAUAGCUCACUGGUCGAGUCGGCCUGCGCGGAAGAUGUAACGGGGCUAAACCAUGCACCGAAGCUGCGGCAGCGAACGUAUCACCCAAGACAACUUUACGGAGUUGACGAUUGACGGAGCGAAGCGACGUCAAAGCGUUCAUUAAAGUCGAGUUGGCUUAGGGAUACGUUCGUUGGGUAGGGGAGCGUUCUGUAAGCCUGUGAAGGUGUGUCGUGAGGCAUGCUGGAGGUAUCAGAAGUGCGAAUGCUGACAUAAGUAACGAUAAAGCGGGUGAAAAGCCCGCUCGCCGGAAGACCAAGGGUUCCUGUCCAACGUUAAUCGGGGCAGGGUGAGUCGACCCCUAAGGCGAGGCCGAAAGGCGUAGUCGAUGGGAAACGGGUUAAUAUUCCCGUACUUGGUGUUACUGCGAAGGGGGGACGGAGAAGGCUAUGUUGGCCGGGCGACGGUUGUCCCGGUUUAAGCGUGUAGGUGUGUGUUCCAGGUAAAUCCGGUUCACUUUAACACUGAGGCGUGACGACGAGGCACUACGGUGCUGAAGCAACAAAUGCCCUGCUUCCAGGAAAAGCCUCUAAGCAUCAGGUAACAUCAAAUCGUACCCCAAACCGACACAGGUGGUCAGGUAGAGAAUACCAAGGCGCUUGAGAGAACUCGGGUGAAGGAACUAGGCAAAAUGGUGCCGUAACUUCGGGAGAAGGCACGCUGACACGUAGGUGAAGUGAUUUACUCAUGGAGCUGAAGUCAGUCGAAGAUACCAGCUGGCUGCAACUGUUUAUUAAAAACACAGCACUGUGCAAACACGAAAGUGGACGUAUACGGUGUGACGCCUGCCCGGUGCCGGAAGGUUAAUUGAUGGGGUCAGCGCAAGCGAAGCUCCUGAUCGAAGCCCCGGUAAACGGCGGCCGUAACUAUAACGGUCCUAAGGUAGCGAAAUUCCUUGUCGGGUAAGUUCCGACCUGCACGAAUGGCGUAAUGAUGGCCAGGCUGUCUCCACCCGAGACUCAGUGAAAUUGAACUCGCUGUGAAGAUGCAGUGUACCCGCGGCAAGACGGAAAGACCCCGUGAACCUUUACUAUAGCUUGACACUGAACAUUGAGCCUUGAUGUGUAGGAUAGGUGGGAGGCUUUGAAGUGUGGACGCCAGUCUGCAUGGAGCCGACCUUGAAAUACCACCCUUUAAUGUUUGAUGUUCUAACGUGGACCCGUAAUCCGGGUUGCGGACAGUGUCUGGUGGGUAGUUUGACUGGGGCGGUCUCCUCCUAAAGAGUAACGGAGGAGCACGAAGGUUGGCUAAUCCUGGUCGGACAUCAGGAGGUUAGUGCAAUGGCAUAAGCCAGCUUGACUGCGAGCGUGACGGCGCGAGCAGGUGCGAAAGCAGGUCAUAGUGAUCCGGUGGUUCUGAAUGGAAGGGCCAUCGCUCAACGGAUAAAAGGUACUCCGGGGAUAACAGGCUGAUACCGCCCAAGAGUUCAUAUCGACGGCGGUGUUUGGCACCUCGAUGUCGGCUCAUCACAUCCUGGGGCUGAAGUAGGUCCCAAGGGUAUGGCUGUUCGCCAUUUAAAGUGGUACGCGAGCUGGGUUUAGAACGUCGUGAGACAGUUCGGUCCCUAUCUGCCGUGGGCGCUGGAGAACUGAGGGGGGCUGCUCCUAGUACGAGAGGACCGGAGUGGACGCAUCACUGGUGUUCGGGUUGUCAUGCCAAUGGCACUGCCCGGUAGCUAAAUGCGGAAGAGAUAAGUGCUGAAAGCAUCUAAGCACGAAACUUGCCCCGAGAUGAGUUCUCCCUGAGACUUAGAGUCUCCUGAAGGAACGUUGAAGACGACGACGUUGAUAGGCCGGGUGUGUAAGCGCAGCGAUGCGUUGAGCUAACCGGUACUAAUGAACCGUGAGGCUUAACC